UGCUGGCAAGGCAAGGGAGCCCCGCGCAGCAGCCCACACAGCCAACCUGACCGCGAGAGAACGGGCCGUCCAGUACCCUUUACAGUGUUACGAAGAUAAUGGCAAGUUAUUUUGCUCGGCCUGUGAAAAGGUGUUGGAUCAUACACGGAAAUCCACCAUUGAGGGUCACUUUAGGUCAAUGAAGCAUCAGAAUGCCUCGAAAAGAAGGAAAGAGUUGGAGACACCUCAGAUGUAGCCAUUGUUGCUUCCCAAAACAGUUAGCAGGUAGAAGAGAAAAAAUGUCUGUUCAAGUUUAAAACUCGGGGUCUGUACAACCGCUGGACUAGAGAAGAACGUCUGCUGAUCCAUGAAGCUUGCGCGAGGAUGGGUCCUGCAAAAGCAGCAAGGGAGUUAUCUCAACAGUUAGGGAAGAAGCUGAGUAUCUCUACUGUAAGAAGCAUUCACAAAAGUUACUCUGUGCCAUAGCUGUUACACAUAGACCUCAAACUGCAGCUUUCACAGCAAGGCGUCGGACAGAAGAAAGGAAAACCACACCGAGGAACAGCGCGAACGGUACAGAAAGUACGACGCUACAAGGCGGUCUAGAAAUUUCGUUGAGCACUGGCGCUCAGAGUUUGGUUGGGUUUACUACGACACGAACCUGAGGGUCAUGACCUGCACAACCUGCCUCAAGUACGGAACUAAAGAUGACAAAAAGACAAGAUUUGUAUCUGGAAACUCGAACUUCAAGCGACUGGCACUCGUCCGGCACGAGGUCAGUCAGACACACCGCCGCUGCGAGGCUCGGCGGACGGCAGAGUCAGCGCUGGCAGAUGCGCCCACGCCUGCUCAGUCAAGAUAAAGCUCCUGCAGUGCUGUGUAAGAUUCAAAGAUAAAGAGUGUCUGCCGUACUUAGCAGUAUAUGUGUAAGGAAAGAGACUAGUCUAAUAGGUUCUUUUACUUGGCAUAAAUUAUUCAUACGGUAAUUAUCAUGUGCAUAAAAGGUAAAUCUAAUACAUGAGAUGAUGUAUUAGGGCAGAAUUGUCUGUAGAUACAGUACUCUCUACUAGCAGAUGGAAUAUUGAUAGUUGAUAUACGUUUGAUAACUGAGAAAAGUGAUGCAAGGAAUAUAUGAAUGAUGUAUUUCAUGUCAUUGAUGUUUGUAAAAUGUUUGAAACCAUAAAUGCUCACCAGCGUCUAGUUCACAAGAUUAAAAAAAGAAGUCUGACGGUUGUAAGCAUAAAUGGGCAGUUGGACUUUUUUAAAACGUAGAUUCAUGGCCAAUCUAUUCCAGAGUAUAAUAUACAGUUUUUCAUGGUUGAGUGUAAGAUGUACAAUGAUUUAGGUCAAAAAAGAGUUGCUCAUUAAAGAAAGCAGCUUGGAUUUUAGCUGAAACCGAGGGAAUUUUUCCCUUAUUAAAGGAGGGAAAUGUAA
RNA transcript from Penaeus indicus, 1413 nucleotides. RefSeq lists it as uncharacterized. Lineage: Eukaryota; Metazoa; Arthropoda; Malacostraca; Decapoda; Penaeidae. The record is from RefSeq and is a predicted model, not a curated record. The transcript has 3 exons.